RNAcentral lists this long non-coding RNA (311 nucleotides) under Nicotiana benthamiana. Its description in RNAcentral is "long non-coding RNA (NBEN_LNC005372)". Lineage: Eukaryota; Viridiplantae; Streptophyta; Magnoliopsida; Solanales; Solanaceae. The record is from RNAcentral.
GAAAAGACCUGCGAUGACCCAAAAGGUCAUCUCGUAUUUAGAACCAAAUUCAGAGUUCUGAGACCUUCAAAACCUCAUUUUAUUUCUCCUCUAUUUGCAGGCACAGGCUGGGCACGUUUUCGAGAAGCGUUUAUGUGAAAAUUUGAGAAAAAAUAAUUUUUGACUUUAAAAGUGAUGUUAGUUGAUUUCGGUUAAUAUUUUGAGUGAACGGAUCCGAAUUUGUAUUUUGACGGUCCUAAAGGGUCCGAAGUAAAAUAUGGGACAUGGGCGUAUGCCCGAAAUCAAAUUCCGAGAUCCCUAGCCCGAGAAAU